GUAACAAGGUUUCCGUAGGUGAACCUGCGGAAGGAUCAUUACCUAGAGUUGUAGGCUUUGCCUGCUAUCUCUUACCCAUGUCUUUUAAGUACCUUCGUUUCCUCGGUGGGUUCGCCCGCCGACUGGACAAUUUAAACCAUUUGCAGUUGCAAUCAGCGUCUGAAAAACAUAAUAGUUACAACUUUCAACAACGGAUCUCUUGGUUCUGGCAUCGAUGAAGAACGCAGCGAAAUGCGAUAAGUAGUGUGAAUUGCAGAAUUCAGUGAAUCAUCGAAUCUUUGAACGCACAUUGCGCCCCUUGGUAUUCCAUGGGGCAUGCCUGUUCGAGCGUCAUUUGUACCUUCAAGCUCUGCUUGGUGUUGGGUGUUUGUCUCGCCUCUGCGUGUAGACUCGCCUCAAAACAAUUGGCAGCCGGCGUAUUGAUUUCGGAGCACAGUACAUCUCGCGCUCUGCACUCAAAACGACGACGUCCAAAAGUACAUUUUUACACUCUUGACCUCGGAUCAGGUA
RNAcentral lists this ribosomal RNA (510 nucleotides) under Didymella glomerata. RNAcentral describes it as "eukaryotic LSU rRNA". The stretch from base 180 to 333 matches the Rfam family "5.8S ribosomal RNA". Lineage: Eukaryota; Fungi; Ascomycota; Dothideomycetes; Pleosporales; Didymellaceae. The record is from RNAcentral.